AUCACUUCUCAGCCUUUUAGCUAAGAUCAACUGUAGUAUCUGUUCUUAUCAGUUUAAUAUCAGAUACAUCCUCUAUCCAAGGAUAUUAUAUUAAAUGCAUUUUUGGAGCUGGGAGAUAGAAUUGCUUCCUCCACUCUAUGCAUCGAGCCAGUACUGCACUACUUCUGGGAACAGUGCACCAGAA
This is a small nuclear RNA of Phyllostomus discolor (pale spear-nosed bat), 184 nucleotides long. RefSeq annotates it as U2 spliceosomal RNA. The transcript has a single exon. Lineage: Eukaryota; Metazoa; Chordata; Mammalia; Chiroptera; Phyllostomidae. The record is from RefSeq and is a predicted model, not a curated record.